This 112-nucleotide ribosomal RNA is filed under the name uncultured Streptococcus sp. RNAcentral describes it as "partial 16S ribosomal RNA". The record is from RNAcentral. Lineage: Bacteria; Bacillati; Bacillota; Bacilli; Lactobacillales; Streptococcaceae.
GACGAACGCUGGCGGCGUGUUGAUACAUGCAAGUCGAACGCACGAAGUUUAGAGCUUGCUCUUUAACCAAGUGAGUGGCGUUUGGCCGAGUAACACGGGAAUUCACCUACCC